Long non-coding RNA from Oreochromis aureus, 526 nucleotides. The record is from Ensembl. NCBI's taxonomy places the organism in Eukaryota, Metazoa, Chordata, Actinopteri, Cichliformes, Cichlidae.
CUGUGACAUAACUUAUCAGCAAUCGCCGCUCGCCGGGCGUGUCUGUGACGUGACGUAUUAGCUAUCGCCAGUGUCAGGGCGUGACUGUUUUGUGACUUAUCAGCAAUCGCCACUCGCAGGCCGUGUUUGUUAUGUGACGUAUGAGCAAUUGCCAAUAAUUGGGCGUGUCUGUGACAUAACUUAUCAGCAAUCGCCGCUCGCCCGGCGUGUCUAUGACGUGACGUAUUAGCGAUCGCCAGUGUCAGGGCGUGACUGUUUUGUGACUUAUCUGCAAUCGCCACUCGCAGGCCGUGUUUGUUAUGUGACGUAUGAGCAAGCGCCAAUAGUUGGGCGUGUCUGUGACAUAACUUAUCAGCAAUCGCCACUCACACGGGGUGUGUCUGACGUGAAGUAUGAGUGAUCGCCGAUCACAGGGCGUGUCUCUGACGUGACUUAUCAGCAAUCGCCGCUCGCCGGGCCACGGGCGUGUCUCUGACGUGAUGUCAAAUAUCAAUACAAGACUUGUCUCUCUGCUGUGAUGUCAAAU